AACGAACGCUGGCGGCAGGCUUAACACAUGCAAGUCGAGCGAGACCUUCGGGUCUAGCGGCGGACGGGUGAGUAACGCGUGGGAACGUGCCCUUCUCUACGGAAUAGCCCCGGGAAACUGGGAGUAAUACCGUAUACGCCCUUUGGGGGAAAGAUUUAUCGGAGAAGGAUCGGCCCGCGUUGGAUUAGGUAGUUGGUGGGGUAAUGGCCCACCAAGCCGACGAUCCAUAGCUGGUUUGAGAGGAUGAUCAGCCACACUGGGACUGAGACACGGCCCAGACUCCUACGGGAGGCAGCAGUGGGGAAUCUUAGACAAUGGGGGCAACCCUGAUCUAGCCAGGCCGCGGGAGUGAUGAAGGCCUUAGGGUUGUAAAGCUCUUUCAGCUGGGAAGAUAAUGACGGUACCAGCAGAAGAAACCCCGGCUAACUCCGU
RNAcentral lists this ribosomal RNA (432 nucleotides) under uncultured bacterium. RNAcentral describes it as "partial 16S ribosomal RNA". It matches the Rfam family "Bacterial small subunit ribosomal RNA", at positions 29 to 506 of the family's 1533-position model. The record is from RNAcentral.